AGAGUUUGAUCCUGGCUCAGAUUGAACGCUGGCGGCAUGCCUUACACAUGCAAGUCGAACGGUAACAGGUCUUCGGACGCUGACGAGUGGCGAACGGGUGAGUAAUACAUCGGAACGUGCCCAGUCGUGGGGGAUAACUACUCGAAAGAGUAGCUAAUACCGCAUACGAUCUGAGGAUGAAAGCGGGGGACCUUCGGGCCUCGCGCGAUUGGAGCGGCCGAUGGCAGAUUAGGUAGUUGGUGGGAUAAAAGCUUACCAAGCCGACGAUCUGUAGCUGGUCUGAGAGGACGACCAGCCACACUGGGACUGAGACACGGCCCAGACUCCUACGGGAGGCAGCAGUGGGGAAUUUUGGACAAUGGGCGAAAGCCUGAUCCAGCAAUGCCGCGUGCAGGAUGAAGGCCUUCGGGUUGUAAACUGCUUUUGUACGGAACGAAAAAGCUCCUUCUAAUACAGGGGGCCCAUGACGGUACCGUAAGAAUAAGCACCGGCUAACUACGUGCCAGCAG
Molecule: ribosomal RNA, 509 nt
Filed under: uncultured bacterium
Lineage: Bacteria
Description: bacterial SSU rRNA
Rfam family: Bacterial small subunit ribosomal RNA
Source: RNAcentral